CCACACAGCGCCCUGCAAACCUGCUGAGUGCUUUCACAUGGUCCCAUGUGAGACCCACGGCCGAUGCCAAACACUCCUGUCCGAAACUGUUUUCAGAGUCAGCUUCAUCUCUAAGCCCCUCCUCGCCCCAGGGUCAAGAGCAUCAAUCAAGAGGGUGGUGGUGGUGGGGUGACAGGAAAGAAUAAAAAGCUCAGCAGCUCAACACAGAGAAGCACCUCCCCUCCCACGGUGAAGGUGUAAAGCAGAAGGCUGGCCAAGGACCAAGGUCCCAGCAAAUGAUGCUGGGAGAAGGCACGCGUCUGAGAGUACACAAGUUCCUGCUGAACCAACUGUGUCCCCAGUUCUUGCUUCAAGAAAAUGUGAAACUCUGCACGAGGAUGCUAGCACGUACGAUUCCUGGCUUCUUGGGAAAUCUCACGCACAAAACUGCCUUUCUCCUCUGCACUGACCGAAUCCACAGUGAGACACCGUGAGGGACAAACUCAGGCUGAGAUUGUAGCUCACUGUGAAGUCCUGAGUUCAAUCCCCAAUACUGGAAAAAAAAAAUUACUGCUGAAAAAUGUUAACAAUCACCUUCACUGCUGGAAAAAAUGUCACCAAAAGUCUUGGCUUGACUCGGAG
This 621-nucleotide long non-coding RNA is filed under the name Heterocephalus glaber (naked mole-rat). RNAcentral's name for it is "lncRNA (ENSHGLG00000046849.1)". The record is from RNAcentral. Lineage: Eukaryota; Metazoa; Chordata; Mammalia; Rodentia; Bathyergidae.